AUUCAAUACGCUAUAAAGCUGAAAGACACGGCUGAAGGAGGUGUUACCCGAUCAAAUCCUUAGACCGAGCAUGAGAAGCAACUAACAAUAAAUUACCUGAAGUUGUGUGUCAGCAGCACCACACACUUUCUUGGAUUCGCAAAGUCGUGCCACCAUGCUCUCAGGCAAAGGCUUGGAGGAUAUAUCACAGAGCUACUGCUGAACUACUGUGCUAUAGCUGUUUUUAGUGAAAUGGCUACCACAAGGAGUCUGGAGCAAACAUGAAUGAUUUAUAAAUAAGAUCAACUCAAAAUGCACAGAACUAUGAAACACAGACCCCCUGCUUG
This is a long non-coding RNA of Ictalurus furcatus (blue catfish), 326 nucleotides long. RefSeq lists it as uncharacterized. NCBI's taxonomy places the organism in Eukaryota, Metazoa, Chordata, Actinopteri, Siluriformes, Ictaluridae. The record is from RefSeq and is a predicted model, not a curated record. The transcript is spliced from 3 exons.